RNAcentral lists this long non-coding RNA (1102 nucleotides) under Sorghum bicolor (sorghum). RNAcentral describes it as "long non-coding RNA (SBIC_LNC002671)". The record is from RNAcentral. Lineage: Eukaryota; Viridiplantae; Streptophyta; Magnoliopsida; Poales; Poaceae.
CCUGAGUCCGGAUCCACCUGCAAAUUGAUGCACUUCUAUAUUGGGCUUUUGGGUACUUGUUUAUUUGUGCAUUUUUUGACGUGUCGGAUUGCGCCUUUUUAUUUGCUUUCCACCUGUAUGCCUGUAUAUGAUCUGCAAAACACAACUUGCACUACAUGUGGAACUUGGUAAGCAUUUAAUAAGUAUAUGUGAGUAAAAUACAUGCUUUUCUUCCUUUGCAUGGACUAUGUUGGUGGGGUAAAUAUGUCAUUAAGAACCGCCAACAAACUCUCCCAAGCUUACCCCUUGCUCGUCCUCGAGCAAGAAGCUAAGAUCUUGGUUGUUGAUCAGGAGUUGCUACAAUAUUUUCACUUCUAUCCAGUACAUACGUUCAAACAAGAAUUCUCCUUUGAAUUUUGAACAGAUAUGUCAUGGGGCUUAUUGCUCAUACCUUGGGUCCUUAAGCAUUUGCACGAUGGAUUUGAUUAGAUCGAGCGCUAUGUCCCCAGUUCUUUACUUCACUUUUGUUCCGGAGUUUUUUUAUUUUCAAAACUUAGCACAUUUGUUUGUCAAAUUAAACAAUGGAUCCAAAGAGAAAGUUAAUCAUACCAUUGAAUUUUUUGAAAACUUUUUCUUUUCCAUCAUUCUAUUUUUGUCUAUUAGAGACACAUGGCUAUGUGGCUAAUUCUACUGUUGGGCACUUGCCCAUUUCUUUUUAUUUUGUCGAGGUUCUGGACACAUGUCCCUUUUUAUUUCCUCGUGAUCUUUCUUUUUGAGGUUUCGGACACAUGUCCCUUUUUAUUUCCUCGGAUGCUUUUUUUUCUGUUUCAUAGCCAUAUGCCUUCUAACAAACUUUUGAGAUGAUAACAUAAUGAAAUAUUUUUGUUUUCAAUGGUAUGAAAACCUCUCAAAGGGUCAACAAAGCUUAAUCUAACUCAAUGUGAUUAUUUUAUUUUUGUAAAAACUCCAGAACUCUAGCGUUGUUUAGAACAGGAUACUAGCAGCUUAGAUCAUCACAAAUAUAUCCAUUAAUUACUUUAGACUUUAGAUAGAGCAUUUUGCAACCCACGCAUUUAAUCAUUUCAUUAAUUUGGAGAAUUCAAGGUUGAAACUAGAUACUGGA